RNAcentral lists this long non-coding RNA (1071 nucleotides) under Monodelphis domestica (gray short-tailed opossum). Its description in RNAcentral is "lncRNA (ENSMODG00000038024.1)". Lineage: Eukaryota; Metazoa; Chordata; Mammalia; Didelphimorphia; Didelphidae. The record is from RNAcentral.
GGGACGGGCUCUCUCUACAGAGGCAAUAACGGAGAGGAGAGACUCUCAAGGGAGCCUUGGAUGGCUUUUGUCCCAUGGGCUCCCUGAGGGCCCCGGGGGUGGGGGUGAGAGGCUAGUUUUCAGUGGGGCUGCCUUUGCCAUCUCGGGGUUAUGGAAGGCAGGAAGAGGUUUAUGAUCUAGUCCAACGUGCUCAUUGUACAGGAGGAAAAACUGAGGCUGGGAGAGGAAGUUCUGUGCCCGCGCUCACAAAAGUAAAUGCCUGUGCCGGUCAUCCCCUUUCCUCCAGGCGCGGUCCCAUCUCUGGCCAGCCCCAGGCCUCCCCUCUGAGUCCCAUUUCAGGGGGAGACUCCAAAGAACCAAACCAGGGAAACAGCCCCUCUGCUUCGGAACCAAUCUGCCUGGAGCUCACAGGGGUGCACUUGUGCUCAAUAUCUUCAUUGGCCCGAGGACGGGUCUGACACACGCAUGCGUAGUUCCAUUCCUUUGCUAGCGGGUUGCCAGGGCAGCAAUUGUCUCCCGACUUUAAAAGGUUCCACUGCCGGGCCAUCACGGCUUAAGUGUCUGGCGACCGGAGCGAUGCAUCUAUUCGGAUCGAAAACACAGCCUGAGCCCUGGGCCCCUACUACCCCACGGAGGGACGUGGGGAUUAAUGGCGCAACAGCCCAAGAAGGCUAUAGGAUCCGCAAAAAUUUCCUGGGGAAGCUCCAUAGAGCUACCUCAUCCGGAGACUGUUGCAAACUGCAAUGGCUUUUCUUGGCCAAAGGGAAAGAUAUUAAUGAAGUGGACGAUCUCAACAGGUGUUACAGUGUCAGCAGGAGGAGUGUGCGAGCAUCCUGCUCCUCCAUGGGGCAGACCCCAGUGUGGUGGAUGACAACAACAGCUCUGCCCUUCACUAUACAGCCUCUGGUUACAACACUGCUAUAGAGGACAGGCUGCUAAAAAAGAAGGCAAGAGACAGGGUAAAAGAUUGUUACCAAUGAAGAAGAAGAUUAAGCAGUCAACAUUUCCACAUGCUAGAAAGAGCUUACCAGUAUUUCAAAAUAAAUACCUUUAAAAAUAUUCGUGAUUUCA